Long non-coding RNA from Cannabis sativa, 1221 nucleotides. RefSeq lists it as uncharacterized. NCBI's taxonomy places the organism in Eukaryota, Viridiplantae, Streptophyta, Magnoliopsida, Rosales, Cannabaceae. The transcript has 6 exons. The record is from RefSeq and is a predicted model, not a curated record.
GCCUAUCUAACGGCAUUUCUUGGUUUAACAGAAUAUACUUUAAAAAUAAAAGAAUAUUCUGUUAAAUUUAACGAUGUUAAUAGGUUUGAUAAUUAUUUAAUUACUCAUUUCAAUUAAUCCGUAAACGAAUCUCUCAUCACUCAGCCCUCUCUCACCCACUUUCCAAUUCUAAAAACCCUAAUCGCAGCAGCAAAACAUUAAACAAACCAACUCUGUUAUGAAGAGACGCUGCUACAGAUACAAUGGCUUCCAAUCGUCGUCAUUCUUCAACCUCAACUCUGUUAAAUUUUAAUGUCACAUAUUCACUAACAAUUAGUUAUUGAUUGAUUCAUUGUAUUCUCUCCUCUGAUCCCUAAUUUACUCUCUCUCACUGGUUGCGUUUGGAAUCUGAGAAAAUGGGUUUGAUUUCGGGGAUUUUUAUGGGGAUGAUCUUGGGGAUUGUGUUAAUGGCUGGAUGGAGUCACAUGAUGAGGCAACGCAGCACCAAGUGAAUUGCUAAGAGAAGAAAAAGCCGCCAUUGUUAUAUUCAUCAAGAAAACCGUGAGAGCUCUCGUCAAGACUCAGACUUGGACUCACUGAUCGAACACUAAAACGCUUUCGUAAGUGAUUUCAGGUGGAAUGGCAAAGAGUUACUUCAAGCAAGAGCGUGAUCUUGAUAAGAGACAGUGCAGAGGCUGCUAGAAUUAGAGAGAAAUACCCUGAUAGGAUUCCGGUGAUUGUGGAGAAAGCAGAGAGAAGUGAUAUUCCAAAUAUUGACAAGAAGAAGUAAGGUCUUCUUUUCACAAACUAAAUAUGGUUCUAAAAUGAAAUCUUUUGAUCUUUUCUUAUAACUUUGGCAUUUACCAAUCCCUCCGAAGUCACAGCUCUUCAAGAUCUUUACUGGAAUCUCAACCUUCCAUCAGAGCUGAGGGGAUGGAGAACCGAGGGUGGAGAUCCAUGUGAUGAAUCAUGGGGUUUUAGAUAAUUAUCUUAAUUGUGUGAAAUUGUAUUGCUUAUGUUGAUUAGGCACAGUUAUAUACUAUCCUAGAGCUAUGUCGUGCAUUUGAUCGGGUAUUUAAGGAGCAUUUAGAUGGAGGGUAAUAUUUUCUCACCUUUUGGUUUCCUCAACAACUAGCUCUACUGUUUCAACACAUUAGGUCUUCACAUAUACAUUUAGUAUAUUUAUUAAAACAUCGUUUUAGAUUUGUAGAAUAAUUUUUGAAUACUGAACUGUUCCACCUA